AUUUUACCGUUGUACGAUCAGAAAUUAAGCUCGUAGACAUUUUCGGACAGCUUGCUUUUUAUCAAGGGCCAAGUUUAUCUCUUGCUCUCAAAAACAAAAUGGUAAGCUUCACGACGUACAUCAUUAUGUGUCCCUAAUACAUGUUCAUAUUUUUUAACAUAUUUGUCUAACCUUCCAACUUGUUAGUAUAAACGUGGAAGUCACAUGCGUCGUGGUGUAGCUUCACAAAGAAGACCAGGCUCUUCCCCUUCCUCGUCCUCGUCCCUGUCCCUUUCCUCUUCCCCUGCCCUUUCAUCUAACCCUCAACCAGUACAUGCUGAUGGACACAUUGGCCCUUCCUCCGACCCUCAAAUGCGAACUGAAUCUACUUCAGUUCCAUCGCCUUCGGUUCCACCUUCUUCUUCAAUGCAACACUCAAAUGAUGAAGAAGAUAGCUGAUUCAUGAUAUCCCCAUUUGGAGAUUCAUUCACGGAUGCUACGUAUGUUGUGAGGAAACUUAAUAAAAUAAUCAAUAACUGUUGGAUGGGGCAGUAUAGUAGUUGGACCACCGCUCCAAAAGAAGUAAAGGAAUUGUAGUGGAAUGAGUUUAAGCGGAAGUUCAGGUGGGAUGAAGCGGAA
Molecule: long non-coding RNA, 618 nt
Organism: Syzygium oleosum
Lineage: Eukaryota; Viridiplantae; Streptophyta; Magnoliopsida; Myrtales; Myrtaceae
Exons: 3
Source: RefSeq, a predicted model, not a curated record